CAUGGAGAUAGCGGGACCCGGGCGUUGGUUGACCCGGGCGAAAGGGACCGAACAUAAGUAGGGAAGUCCGCGAUGCUCUGUGGCGAGAAAAGGCGAAGAUAGGGUGCCCGUACCGCAAACCGACACAGGUAGAUGAGGAGAGAAUCCUAAGGCCAACGGGAGAAAGGUUGUUAAGGAACUCUGCAAAAUGGUCCCGUAACUUCGGGAGAAGGGACGCCUCCGAAAGGAGGCCGCAGUGAAAAGGCCCAAGCGACUGUUUACCAAAAACACAGGUCUCUGCUAAAUCGAAAGAUGACGUAUAGGGGCUGACGCCUGCCCGGUGCUGGAAGGUUAAGAGGAGGACUUAGCGCAAGCGAAGGUCUGAAUUUAAGCCCCAGUAAACGGCGGCCGUAACUAUAACGGUCCUAAGGUAGCGAAAUUCCUUGUCAGGUAAGUUCUGACCCGCACGAAUGGCGUAACGAUUUGGGCGCUGUCUCAACAGCCUACCCGGCGAAAUUGUAGUACCGGUGAAGAUGCCGGUUACCCGCAACUAGACGGAAAGACCCCAUGGAGCUUUACUGCAGCUUAAUACUGAGAUUCGGUAAUUCAUGUACAGGAUAGGUGGGAGACUUGGAAACAGGGGCGUCAGCUUCUGCGGAGUCACCCUUGGGUUACCACCCUUGGAUUGCUGGGUUUCUAACCUGCGGCCAUGAAUCUGGUCGGGGGACACUGUUAGGCGGGCAGUUUGACUGGGGCGGUCGCCUCCUAAAAAGUAGCGGAGGCGCUCAAAGCUUGGCUCAGCAUGGAUGGAAAUCAUGCAAUGAGUGUAAACGUAUAAGCCAAGUUGACUGCGAGACCGACGGGUCGAGCAGGUACGAAAAUAGGAGUUAGUGAUCCGGUGGUAUGUGAGUGGAAAUGCCAUCGCUCAACGGAUAAAAGCUACCCUGGAUAACAGGCUGAUCUCCCCCAAGCGUCCACAGCGACGGGGAGGUUUGGCACCUCGAUGUCGGCUCGUCGCAUCCUGGGGCUGUAUUCGGUCCCAAGGGUUUGGCUGUUCGCCAAUUAAAGCGGCACGCGAGCUGGGUUCAGAACGUCGUGAGACAGUUCGGUCCCUAUCUGUUGCGGGCGUAAGAGAUUUGAAGGGAGCUAUCCUUAGUACGAGAGGACCGGGAUGGACUGACCGCUGGUGCACCAGUUGUCCUGCCAAGGGCAUAGCUGGGUAGCUACGUCGGGACGAGAUAAACGCUGAAGGCAUCUAAGCGUGAAACUCCCCCUAAGAUAAGAUCUCUCAUCCUGAAAAGGAGUAAGGCUCGUCGUAGACUAUGACGUUGAUAGGUCAGGGGUGUAAGCACGGUAACGUGUGUAGCUGACUGAUACUAAUAAGCCGAGGGCUUGACCG
This 1378-nucleotide ribosomal RNA is filed under the name metagenome. RNAcentral describes it as "bacterial LSU rRNA". It matches the Rfam family "Bacterial large subunit ribosomal RNA", at positions 1475 to 2925 of the family's 2925-position model. The record is from RNAcentral.